AGCUGUCUGAAAAUGUCUU
This 19-nucleotide microRNA is filed under the name Pan troglodytes (chimpanzee). RNAcentral describes it as "ptr-miR-626". Its record names the gene ptr-miR-626. RNAcentral also lists the same sequence under 1 other name. Lineage: Eukaryota; Metazoa; Chordata; Mammalia; Primates; Hominidae. The record is from miRBase by way of RNAcentral.